GAAAAAUUCUAAGAUUAAUUUAAGUCUACUGAUACCCUCUUCACCUAAAGUCCACCGACAAAGCCCUCAUCGCCCUCGGGAUGUUACACGCAGCCUAUCUGUGGCCAAGUUAAUGACUCUGAGUUCCAGCCAAGAAAAUAGGGAAGGGAACAUUCUUUAAAAGGGAAAAGGAUGAUAAAGAGAGAUGAAAAGAAGGAGACAGAGAGAAAGGGAGAGAGAGAUGGACAGUGGGAGAGAAAGAGACGGACAGAGAGAGGAAAAGAGACAGAGGUAAAGAGAUUAGAAAUAAUUAGCUGUGUGAUAUUGUCACAGGCUGAUUAUAGUUGUUAUUACAUUCAUGAACAAUGCAAUAUAUUUGUCAAGAUUUACUGUUCCAGUAUUCAAAUUUGGUCAUUUGAAU
This 400-nucleotide unclassified non-coding RNA is filed under the name Hevea brasiliensis (rubber tree). Lineage: Eukaryota; Viridiplantae; Streptophyta; Magnoliopsida; Malpighiales; Euphorbiaceae. The record is from RNAcentral.